GGCAGUGCUGGAGUCCCUCAAGAGUGCUCAGGAGAGGUUGUUGUUGUUGGUAAAGUGAAAUCCAGUUUCGGCAGAAGCCCCCAGCAUUUUGGAAAUGCCAGUACUAAGGGAUGACCACCCAGGACACCAUCAGAAGUGGAGUAGAGCAGUCUGAGCCUAGGGGACAGUCUUUGUGUGUUGCAGAGGAUAGAGCCGAAGAAUUGACAUAGCCUUCGGAGGAGCCCAUAGAGGGAAGAAGCCUGAUUUCUCUUUAGACAUCCAGUUUGGACUAACGAGGCAGACCACAGGUUUGAGUGUGUUGAACUUCCUGAAGACGCAGUGUACUAUUAGACAACGAGCAAUCGCAGACAGGAAGAGAACGUUAGCAGACGCCCGAGCAAACAGCAUUGUGGAGGCAAGGACUUCACUAAGAUCCUCCGAAGAAACAAGU
Molecule: long non-coding RNA, 430 nt
Organism: Mesocricetus auratus (golden hamster)
Lineage: Eukaryota; Metazoa; Chordata; Mammalia; Rodentia; Cricetidae
Exons: 3
Source: RefSeq, a predicted model, not a curated record